AACGAACGCUGGCGGCAUGCCUAACACAUGCAAGUCGAACGAAGUCUUCGGACUUAGUGGCGCACGGGUGCGUAACGCGUGGGAAUCUGCCCUUGGGUUCGGAAUAACAGUGAGAAAUUACUGCUAAUACCGGAUGAUGACUUCGGUCCAAAGAUUUAUCGCCCAAGGAUGAGCCCGCGUAAGAUUAGCUAGUUGGUGAGGUAAAGGCUCACCAAGGCGACGAUCUUUAGCUGGUCUGAGAGGAUGAUCAGCCACACUGGGACUGAGACACGGCCCAGACUCCUACGGGAGGCAGCAGUGGGGAAUAUUGGACAAUGGGCGAAAGCCUGAUCCAGCAAUGCCGCGUGAAUGAUGAAGGCCUUAGGGUUGUAAAGCUCUUUUACCAGGGAUGAUAAUGACAGUACCUGGAGAAUAAGCUCCGGCUAACUCCGUGCCAGCCGCCCCGUAA
This 448-nucleotide ribosomal RNA is filed under the name uncultured bacterium. RNAcentral's name for it is "partial 16S ribosomal RNA". It matches the Rfam family "Bacterial small subunit ribosomal RNA", at positions 29 to 523 of the family's 1533-position model. The record is from RNAcentral.